AGCGUUCUGCUUUCCUGGUGUG
Molecule: microRNA, 22 nt
Filed under: Gallus gallus (chicken)
Lineage: Eukaryota; Metazoa; Chordata; Aves; Galliformes; Phasianidae
Description: gga-miR-12275-5p
Source: miRBase by way of RNAcentral